Molecule: non-coding RNA, 85 nt
Organism: Arthrobotrys musiformis
Lineage: Eukaryota; Fungi; Ascomycota; Orbiliomycetes; Orbiliales; Orbiliaceae
Source: the annotation of a GenBank genome assembly
GGCUGCAUAGUGCAACGACUAGCACAUUCCAUUAUACCGAAAUUCGUUUUGAGGAGAGAUGUCGGUUCAAAUCCGACUGUGGCCC